Molecule: non-coding RNA, 3910 nt
Organism: Paramormyrops kingsleyae
Lineage: Eukaryota; Metazoa; Chordata; Actinopteri; Osteoglossiformes; Mormyridae
Source: RefSeq, a predicted model, not a curated record
ACCCCGGUUCUUACAUCACUGUUGGAGGCGUGGAGACAUGAUAGCCGGUAGCUUCAGAGACUGUAAAGCAUGGCAGGCAGAAGGUUUGCCUCUAUCCACCACCAGUGACGAGGCCUGCAAACUGUACGACGCUAUACUUACUCAGAUAGUGACCUGGCGUAAUGAUGAGUCCCUGGGGGGGAUUGAGGGCUGUCUGUCCCGACUGGUGGCUGCUGACCCCAGCUUUGUAAUGGGCCAUGUGGUCAGUGCGGGCCUGGAGCUGAUUGGAGGCAGUAGUUCGGUACUGCGGAACGAGCAGCUGGCCAAAACUGUGAGGAGGACCCUGGAGCUGGCCCAGCAGCAGGAGCUCACGCCCAGAGAGAGACUCCAUAUCAGGGCUCUGGAACAGCUAUCCAGAGGAUGUCUGUCCAAGGCCAGUGACCUCUGGGACGAGAUCCUGGUGUCAUACCCCACAGACAUGCUGGCCAUCAAGUUUGCACAGGUUAACCUUUUCUUCCUGGGUUACAAGACACAAAUGAGAGACACGUUGGCACACGUUCUACCCCACUGGAAGCCCCACAUGCCUUUGUACAGCUACCUUAAAGGGCUGUAUGCAUUUGGACUGCUGGAGACAAAUUUUUAUGACAAGGCAGAAAAACUUACAAAAGAGGCCCUGGCACUGACCCCAGAUGAUGCUUGGAGUGUGCACACCAUGGCACAUGUGCACCACAUGAGAGCUGAACUGGACCAGGGCCUGAGGUUCAUGGAGACAAAUGAGAAGGACUGGAAGGGAGCUGAUAUGCUGGCCUCUCAUAACUACUGGCAUUGGGCUCUGUACCACAUUGAAAAGGGGGAACAUGAGGCAGCUCUGAAGAUAUAUGAUACUCAGGUUGCGCCACGGUGCAUAUCUAGUGGGGCCAUGCUUCCAACAGUCGACUGCUGUUCCAUGCUCUAUAGACUGGAGAUGGAGGGCAUGAGUAUGAAGGAACGCUGGCAGAAGCUGUUUAGGGUGAUCCAGGCUCACUCAGAUGACCAUGUGCUGCUCUUCAAUGACCUGCACUUCCUCAUGGCAUCACUAGGUGCCAAGGAACGUGAAGCAUCCCACAGGCUAUUGGGAACCCUGCAGGAGCUGGCAGAGGACCCUGGAGAACACCAUUUACGGCAGCUGGCGAGGCCCAUUGGAGUGCCCAUGUGCCAGGCUCUGGUGGAGUAUGAUUGCGGCAACUGUAACCGUGCAGUUGAACUUCUGCUGCCAAUCCGGUACCGCUUCCAUGAGAUAGGGGGCAGUGAUGCACAGAGAGAUGUCCUCAAUCAGCUUCUCAUUCAUGCUGCAAUGAAAUCUGAGGAAGAACAGCAUCACAAACUAGCCAGACGCCUACUCACGGAGCGAGACGCCGCUCAGCCCAACUCCCCGCUGACGCACCGACUUAUCCUGAGGGCCAGUGGUCUGCAGGGAUAGACAGAGGACAGUCUCCUGUGCCAGAAAGACAAUGAUAUCUGCAGCAUCAGUGAUUUGGGUCCCAUGGAUGACUGAUUGACUUUGCAAAAUAACCUGGCCUAAUGAUACAUGCUUUUUAUGAUGAAAUGAGCAUGAUAACAUUUGCAGCAUUUUCCAGGAAAAGAUACAGGACAACUUAAUGAAAACAAUUUAGGAAACCAAAAUACAAAAAUCACCCUAAGAAGUCCUUUGUAAAAAAAGAAAGAAAAAAAACAUUAGCAGCAAGCCUGUAACUGAAAUCACAAUGAUGCUAUCAAAUGUAACUCCAGCAUAUAAACAGCUGAGAAACACAUUUCAGUAGUACUGAAAAUAUUACUUUUCAAUGAAUAUGUUGCCAGAAAGCAAUACAUUAAAUUCACUGUAAUGUUAAGAUUGCAAUUAGUAAAAUAUAUUUUGAUGACAAUUAUAAGGGAGGGGGUAAGGGGGGGUCUUUAACAUCAAGAAGAGUUUUCUUUUCCUUUGUGAGACUGGAGACUGGGGUGGAUACAGGUAUAAAUGCAAUUAGUGGUAAGACCACUCCCCAAAUGAUUAGAUUUGCCUGAAAUAUAAAUAAUACAUACACAUAUGGUUCUUGGCAGUAUUUUUAUUACAAACUCAGUCUCUCACAGGAAUUUUUCAGAAUCAUUAUCAAUUAGUUGUCAGCAAAUCCUCAUUCAUUUUGUAAGUAACAGGCACAAGACAGGAAAUAACCCAUCACAGGGCACACUCACACAUACAUACAUUUUGGGAACUCCAAUUCACCUCAGCCUGUUUUUGGACUUUGUGUGGGGGGGCGGGGAUUCAAUGGUGUGAGGCAACUGCCAACCACUGCACCACCAUGCUGCCCUUUGGCAGCAAUCCUUUAAAAGAAAAUGAUAACUGCAAAGUAUUCAACCCCUGUGCUCUGGACGCUCCAGAUGAAAGAGGAAAAAGAAAGACAGAAAACAUUGCCUUACACAAUCAGUACCACUAUCAUUGAAAAGACAAUACCCACCCACCCUCUCCCAUUUACGAGGGAUUUUAUAUGCAAUUUGAAUUUAUUGGCUUUAUUUAUAACAUAAUCACAUAAAAACAACUUAAGUUAUUAUUACUAGGAGACAGAAGAAGUAUUGUUAUACUGUAGAGCCCUGAACAGACAUAGAGAGCAAAAGAGCCUUAAAUGGAGAUUUGAAAGUAAAAGAGUGUCCUGAGGCUGGGAGUAUUUUACAAAUAUUCAUUCCUCACAUUCUACAAAGGGGUGGUGCAGUGGUUUUGCACUGUUGCCUCACAUCUCUGGAAUCAGGGUUCAAGCCUCUGCCAAUGGCUCCAAAUGUGUGUUCACAUGUUUAUACUGUGUUGUCAUAGGGUUUCCUCCAGUUAGUCUGCUCCCCACCCCAAAUUACAAAAACAUAUUGAGAUUAAUUGGAGUUAUCAAAUUGUUUGUGUGAAUGCGCUCUGCAAUGUGUUGGUGACAAAUUCUGGGUUGUUCUCUGCUUUGCGCCCAUAGCCUCCAGACUCCCUACUAUACUGAGUAGGAUAAGCAGUUUCAGAAAAUGGAUGGAUUCUACAGAAGGCAUCCCAGGAAAACUGAUGACAGGAGGCAUUAAAUGCCACUGCUCACAUUUUUUUUCUGUGGGGGAGCUUCCAAAACUUGAAUUUGACUUAAAUUAAAGUAAAAUCAGUGGAGUCAAACUUGUUGAGAUCUGGGACAGCACGAUGCCUACAAUCUGAGGGAAGACAAGAAGCAGCAUGUCAGGAUGUUUCGGCACUUACAGAGCCACUUCCUGUCUGAAUACACUACCUGAGGGAGGGCAAGGCCCAGAGCCAGGGCACCGACAAGCAGGAGGUGGGACUCGAUCCAUAUUACGGCCCUGUCUGCACACCCCACUGAGUUGAUAGACUUGGCGGCUUCCAGGUACUUCAGUGUCUGGACCCCAAACCCACACAUAGUGUUGAUGACAGUCUGGAGCAUGAAGAAAGAGACCUGCGUGACAAGCUUUAAUACUCUAAGUUUGUUCCUACCAGAAGGAACAGAAGGAGUAUGGGACUGGUUGGGGGAUGCAUCCAGGAAUAAACAAGAGCUGGUGAUCCAUCAUUUGGCUACAGUGACAAACCACUAAGUCAGUGAAUAAGCUCAAUCAUGCUAGACAUCUUCACUUAGCAGUUUUUUGUUCCCCUGAGACCUUUGCCUUUUUAAAAAGCUCACUAAAGCAAUUAGCUGGAUACACAAUGAUUACUCAGUAUUUUCUUUUGAGAGAUGGUGAGGGUGUCUUUGAGCUAUUGUUUGUUGUCACUUGUGUUGUCCUGGCAUUAACCUGGGUCACAGGCGACUGAGGGUCGUCACAAUACUAGGGGCAACCGUGCUUCUUAUAUCAUUGAAUCAAAAGGGGGCAAAGAUUUCCUUAUUACAACAGUUCACAGACUGUGUCUGAUGCUUUGGGUUUCAAUCAAUUAAUAAAGAAAAUCUGGGCCUUC